CUACGGGACGCUCCAGUUAGGAAUAUUUUGCAAUGCGCGCAAGCGUGACAAAUUGAGCCAGAGUGAUUCUCACACGAGAAUCUUUUGUGAAAUGUAAAAAGUUUCGCGAAUAAGGACUGGGUAAGACUAGUGCCAGCCGCCGCGGUAAUACUAGCGGUCCAAGUCGCAGCCAUUUUUAUUGGGUCUAAAACAUCCGUAGCUUGUUUUUUAAGUUCUUUGUGAAAUUUUAUCUCUUAAGGGUAAAGCGCGCAAGGAGUACUGGGAAACUAGAGACUGGAAGACGUAAGAAGUACGCCCCGAGUAAUGGUAAAAUAUGUUAAUCCGAGGCGGACUAACAAUAGCGAAGGCAUCUUACGAGGACAGUUCUGACAGUAAGGGAUGAAGGCUAGGGGCGCAAAACGGAUUAGAUACCCCAGUAGUC
This 421-nucleotide ribosomal RNA is filed under the name uncultured archaeon. RNAcentral's name for it is "partial 16S ribosomal RNA". It matches the Rfam family "Archaeal small subunit ribosomal RNA", at positions 323 to 746 of the family's 1478-position model. The record is from RNAcentral.